RNAcentral lists this transfer RNA (75 nucleotides) under Neobacillus cucumis. RNAcentral's name for it is "tRNA-Arg". It matches the Rfam family "tRNA". Rfam says of the family: Transfer RNA (tRNA) molecules are approximately 80 nucleotides in length. Lineage: Bacteria; Bacillati; Bacillota; Bacilli; Caryophanales; Bacillaceae. The record is from RNAcentral.
GAGCCUAUAGCUCAGCUAAGAUAGAGCAUACGCCUUCUAAGCGUAUGGUCAGAGGUUCGAAUUCUAUAAGGCACG